RNAcentral lists this ribosomal RNA (253 nucleotides) under uncultured bacterium. RNAcentral describes it as "partial 16S ribosomal RNA". It matches the Rfam family "Bacterial small subunit ribosomal RNA", at positions 524 to 776 of the family's 1533-position model. The record is from RNAcentral.
UACAGAGGGUGCGAGCGUUAAUCGGAAUUACUGGGCGUAAAGCGUGCGUAGACGGUUAUUUAAGUCGGGUGUGAAAGCCCCGGGCUCAACCUGGGAAUUGCAUUCGAGACUGAAUAGCUAGGGUACGGUAGAGGGAAGUGGAAUUUCCGGUGUAGCGGUGAAAUGCGCAGAUAUCGGGAGGAACACCGGUGGCGAAGGCGGUUCUCUGGGCCUGUACUGACGCUGAGGAGCGAAAGCGUGGGGAGCGAACAGG